This 1425-nucleotide long non-coding RNA is filed under the name Vulpes vulpes (red fox). RNAcentral describes it as "lncRNA (ENSVVUG00000000414.1)". Lineage: Eukaryota; Metazoa; Chordata; Mammalia; Carnivora; Canidae. The record is from RNAcentral.
UCAUGAGAGACACAGACAGAGACACAGACUGAGGGAGAAGCAGCUCCAUGUAGGGAGCCUGAUGUGGGACUUGAUCCCGGAUCCCGGGAUCACACCCUGGGCCAAAGGCAGACGCUCAACCACUGAGCCACCCAGGCAUCCCAACAGCAAAUAAUUUUAAGACAAUAAACCAAGUAAAGCCAGGGUUGUUUUUUUAUUAUCACUCUUAACCCAGCAUUUCUCAGUAAUGUCAGUGAUCAAUUAACUCUCCCCCUUCUAAAUUGUUUUUUUUUUCCUUUCCAAAGUUGUUUGUUUUCCUCUAGAGAACAGAAUUUUUAAGCAGCUCUCUUGAGCAGUAAUUGGAUUACAGUAAUUCGUAUAUAUUUAAGGUAUACAUUUGGCUAGUUUUGAACCUAUAUAUACAUCAGCACAAUCAAGAUAGUGAUUAUAUCCACCACCCACAGAAAUUCCCUUGUGCGUCUUCCUCUUCCACUUUCUCAAGAUGUCAAGAGUGAUGCUUUGUGUUGUCUAAGCCACCCUGGGGACCACUGGCUGGGACAGUGCCUUGAUGAUCAAACAGAAGGUGAGGGUGGGUAUAUAGAGAGAGCUCAGGAGCUCUGCGGCUGACCACCAGGAGAGUUUGGCUUGGCUGCGAUGACCAGCAUACCGUAGGCGUCCAGCAAAGAUUUGGAACGAUCAACCACAAGCAGAGAACAACCAGCCGUUAGCAUAGAACAAACAACCAUAAGUGGGGAUCAACCAUCCUCAAGCAUGGAACAGCCCCCCACAAGUAGGGAGCAGCCAACCACAAGUGGGGAACAACCAAACACAAAUGUGGGACAGCCGUUGACAGGUGCUCAAGAAAGAAAGAGGGUGACCCUCUGUCAAUGCAAGUGCAGAGAUAGUGCCAAGGUGCAAAAGACAGCCAAGCAGGUAGAAACGUCCCUGCAAGCAUGUGCAGCCAGAAGAUCCUUUGAAAACUCUAUCAACUGUUCAAGAAAGCACACAAGAGAAACAAGACCAGCAGUAUUUGUUACCAGCAGCUGAUGAAGAGAGCGAAUUAAAUUAAGAGACCACAACUUCUGCGGAAGCAGAAUGAGGGGACCCGGAAUUCUGCUGAUCCAAGUCAUGCAGUUGUGUGCAGAGGCCUGGAGCCCGGUAACUGUUGUUUCCAGAGGAGCCUGUGGGGAAAUGGCCAACCAUGUAGAGGCCGACUGUCAUGCCAACAGGGUACACAGUUUGCAAUGAUUAAAAUCCACAAGAUAGGGGCACCUGGGUGGCUCAGCGGUGAAGUGUCUGCCUUUGGCUCAGGGCGUGAUCCUGGGUCCCGGGAUCGAGUCCCGCAUCGGGCUCCCCAUGGGGAGCCUGCUUCUCCCUCUGCCUGUGUCUCUGCCUCUCUGUAUCUCUCAUGAAUAAAAGAAUAAAAGUAUUAAAAAAAUAAAAACA